UUGCUAGGCCCCGGCCUAGUCUCACAAGAGACAGAUAU
RNAcentral lists this unclassified non-coding RNA (38 nucleotides) under Mus musculus (house mouse). RNAcentral's name for it is "oocyte_clustered_small_RNA13117". Lineage: Eukaryota; Metazoa; Chordata; Mammalia; Rodentia; Muridae. The record is from RNAcentral.